UACGUAGGGGGCUAGCGUUGUCCGGAUUUAUUGGGCGUAAAGAGCGUGUAGGCGGCCAGGUAGGUCUGCUGUGAAAACUCGAGGCUCAACCUCGAGACGUCGGCGGAAACCAUCUGGCUAGAGUCCGGAAGAGGAGAGUGGAAUUCCUGGUGUAGCGGUGAAAUGCGCAGAUAUCAGGAAGAACACCCGUGGCGAAGGAGGCUCUCUGGGACGGUACUGACGCUGAGACGCGAAAGCGUGGGGAGCGAACAGG
RNAcentral lists this ribosomal RNA (253 nucleotides) under uncultured bacterium. RNAcentral's name for it is "partial 16S ribosomal RNA". It matches the Rfam family "Bacterial small subunit ribosomal RNA", at positions 524 to 776 of the family's 1533-position model. The record is from RNAcentral.